This 334-nucleotide ribosomal RNA is filed under the name Candidatus Levyibacteriota bacterium. RNAcentral describes it as "bacterial SSU rRNA". It matches the Rfam family "Bacterial small subunit ribosomal RNA", at positions 1188 to 1533 of the family's 1533-position model. The record is from RNAcentral. Lineage: Bacteria; Candidatus Levyibacteriota.
AGUCAGCAUGCUCCUUAUGCCCUGGGCUACACACACCCUACAAUGGCGAAGAACAAUGGGUUGCAAGCUAGUAAUGGCAAGCUAAUCCCUGAAAUUUCGCCUCAGUUCAGAUUGAGGGCUGCAACUCGCCCUCAUGAAGUCGGAAUCGGUAGUAAUCGCGAAUCAGCAGGUCGCGGUGAAUACGUUCUCGGGUCUUGUACACACCGCCCGUCAAGGCAGCAAAGUCGGUAGCUAUCGAAUAUUGUCUUUAUGGCGAUAGAGAUAGAGAUUGGCGAUGAAGCUUAAGUCGUAACAAGGUAUCCCUAGCCGAAGCUGGGGAUGGAUCACCUCCUUU